RNAcentral lists this ribosomal RNA (480 nucleotides) under uncultured bacterium. RNAcentral describes it as "bacterial SSU rRNA". It matches the Rfam family "Bacterial small subunit ribosomal RNA", at positions 1000 to 1482 of the family's 1533-position model. The record is from RNAcentral.
GUAGAAAUACAUGUUCCCUUCGGGGCAAGGAGACAGGUGGUGCAUGGUUGUCGUCAGCUCGUGUCGUGAGAUGUUGGGUUAAGUCCCGCAACGAGCGCAACCCUUAUGGUUAGUUGCCAGCACGAAAGGUGGGAACUCUAAUCAGACUGCCGGGGAUAACUCGGAGGAAGGUGGGGACGACGUCAAAUCAUCAUGCCCCUUAUGUCCUGGGCUACACACGUGCUACAAUGGCCGGUACAGAUGGCUGCGAAACCGUAAGGUGAAGCGAAUCCAAAAAAACCGGUCCCAGUUCGGAUCGUGGGCUGCAACCCGCCCACGUGAAGCCGGAGUUGCUAGUAAUCGCGAAUCAGCAUGUCGCGGUGAAUGCGUUCCCGGGCCUUGUACACACCGCCCGUCACACCAUGGGAGUUGGGAGCGCCCGAAGCCGAUGGCCUAACAGCAAUGGAGGAGUCGUCGAAGGCGAGAUCAAUGACUGGGGUG